GACGAACGCUGGCGGCGUGCUUAACACAUGCAAGUCGAACGGAAAGGCCCUGCUUUUGUGGGGUGCUCGAGUGGCGAACGGGUGAGUAACACGUGAGUAACCUGCCCUUGACUUUGGUAUAACUUCAGGAAACUGGGGCUAAUACCGGAUAGGAGCUCCUUCUGCAUGGUGGGGGUUGGAAAGUUUCGGCGGUUGGGGAUGGACUCGCGGCUUAUCAGCUUGUUGGUGGGGUAGUGGCUUACCAAGGCUUUGACGGGUAGCCGGCCUGAGAGGGUGACCGGCCACAUUGGGACUGAGAUACGGCCCAGACUCCUACGGGAGGCAGCAGGGGGGAAUAUUGCACAAUGGGCGGAAGCCUGAUGCAGCAACGCCGCGUGCGGGAUGACGGCCUUCGGGUUGUAAACCGCUUUCGCCUGUGACGAAGCGUGAGUGACGGUAAUGGGUAAAGAAGCACCGGCUAACUACGUG
Molecule: ribosomal RNA, 468 nt
Filed under: uncultured bacterium
Lineage: Bacteria
Description: partial 16S ribosomal RNA
Rfam family: Bacterial small subunit ribosomal RNA
Source: RNAcentral